CCCGCCGCUCCCGUACCUACCCCGGCCCCGGCGGAAGCGGCGGCGGAAGGGGCGGGAGCGGCGGGAGCGGCGGGCGGAGCGAGCGGAGCCAUGUCGGGCCGGGAGGGCGGCAAGAAGAAGCCGCUGAAGCAGCCGAAGAAGCAGACGAAGGACCUGGAUGAGACAGAUCUGGCAUUCAAACAAAAGCAGAAGGAGGAGCAAAAGAAACUUGAGGAGAUGAAAGCAAAAGCUGCUGGAAAAGGGCCUCUGGCCAGUGGUGGAAUAAAGAAGUCUGGCAAAAAGUAGUUUGAUUAAACUGCAGGGUAAGAAGUGAUCGAGUUACUCAAUGGAUUUGCAGACUUCAGAGAGUCAUGAAAACUCACUGUCAUUUUGGGAACAUUGUACAUUUUGUUUAGUCUGAAUAAAUACUUUUUGUUAAGAUGUGA
Pseudopipra pipra is the source of this 425-nucleotide long non-coding RNA. RefSeq lists it as uncharacterized. Lineage: Eukaryota; Metazoa; Chordata; Aves; Passeriformes; Pipridae. The record is from RefSeq and is a predicted model, not a curated record. The transcript is spliced from 4 exons.